CUACCCCGCCGUCGGCCCGUCGGCUCCGUCUUUCCACCAUUACAAUAUAUUUUUAUACGGGCUAUCAACCUUAACGCGUGUGAUUAAUACAAAUAAAUUAUCGCAUUAUCAAAUAUGAUUAUGAAUGAAGGUUAAUUCUUAACCCGUAAGUAGCGCGCAUUGUCACAUAGUCUGUGAUGAGGAUGAGAAGCGGACAGUUUCGCUUCAGAACAGAAUUGUGACGUUUGGCUGGCAUCGUGGUGCGUGUUUGCGUUCUUGUGGUGCAGCGGCGAUGGAACACAGCAUUAAGGUAGGAAUGAUGAUUUAUGCCUAACUACAAAAACAAACUAAUAACAGAAAUACUGGCACAUAAGCACUAAAGACAAAACAAACAGAACUAGCGUGGAAGCUAGAAUGAACAGAAAGCGCUAGUAUGUAAACUAGGGACAAGUAAACAAACAAAAUAGCAUGGAAGCUAAUAGGGUGAAAAAAGAUAGUUACCACAAUGCGGGAAGAGCGAUGUCACUUGUUGCGUGUAGCAAACUAUAGUCCGAGACCGAAUGUAAAACAAGGGCGGUCUUAAAUAAGGAGAUAACUAAUCAAGUCAGGUGCGUGACGACAAACCAGAAUCAGGUGACAUUGAAUGAGUUACCCUGACAACAGAAAACCAAACAGGAAGGGCCACCGGGAACCAAAGACGUCGAAUGCAACACAGGAUGAUAAUAAAACAGAAACGAAAUCAAAAUAUGACAUGGUCCAAGAUGUGGACCAUGACAAGAACUUUAGUUAAAACUGAGGUAACUUGUUGGUAUUGCAGCAACAAAAGUUUGUGUCAUCGCCGCACAGAAGUUUAAAAUUCCACCUAAAAGCAAAACAUGUACUUGAUGGUGCCGACAGCAUGCAUGAACAAGCAAAGGAAAACGCUACACUGCCGGUUUACCUGCGUCAAUGUUGUCAGCAAGAGUACAAGUACCACAAUUAAAAAUUUGUGAAGACCACAUCCAGCAAGAAGAUGGUAUUCAGACCACCACAACUGAUCCGAGGCACAUUUACAGCAAUGUUAAACCAACUCUAGUACACAAACAAGAGCAUCAAUUUGCAAGUAUUGGCUGAAUGUGAAUGUGUUUUGCUUCUUGAAGAUCAUCGGACACCUGGAAGUAAUCACAACGAGCUGAGAUCGCAUUAUACCAAAAAAGGAAAUCAGCAUUGUCAUCUGAAAAGGGUAAGGAACUUUAUUCGGUUACUUUGAAGCAGAAGAACCAACAAUAUUCACAAUUUAUCCAUUCGUUUUCCAUGUUGUGUGUUGUCCAGUGUUGACGUGUGAGCCUGCAGUGAAUAAAUGCAGCAGAGGUAGCGAGACAACAGAAUUGGAUCAUACUGUAGCUCAGACUGUCCUGGCUGUGGAAGCGUCACCAAAGCAGUCGUGAGCAGUGGGGUGCAUCCAGCCAGACGCCGCAGGAGCAACAGGGCAGACAGUCAGUGGGGGCAAGUUGCGGUGGUGUUAUCAUCAAUGUCUCCAUCGGAGAAACAAAAAACUUAAAACAGAUGAAAGCUGACAGUUGGUGGCAGCAGCUUGCCUGGCCAUGCAUUGUGUGCAGGUGUGCAGGCAGGAGUGGAGUAUUAAUAUGUAUGAUAAGAAGAUGGGAUCGGGAGGAAAGGCCAAAUGAAAGGAGAGGAGGAAGCCGAGGGGUCAGUGAUUCAGUGUGCACCAGGCACAGCAAAGUAUGAGAUUUAUCAUGCAUUGCCAGGCCCCAGUUUGUGUAGUGGAAAGGAAGUAAGUAGAGCGAUGGAGGCUGAGGGGGGAACGAGCCAACUAGUUCAUCACGGUAGCCUAGUUAGGUGAAAGGCGCAAUAGCGAAAAGGUAGGCUCAUUAUCUCCCUUCUGACCAACCUCCACAUUUUUCUACUUUUCUUCUCUUGUUCCAUGUUUAAUCAACCUGAGUUAGCAAUCCUUUGCUGCAUGUUUCUUUGUUUUCUAAUGCAAAGUCCUCGUCACCAGAAUAAACAAAUAUUUUUCGGACCAUAGGGCGCACUGCCGAUGAGCGGGUUUAUUCAGGUCUAUUUUCAUACAAAAGAGCACUUUAAAAGGGUCAUAUCAAUUUUAUGUUUUUCUAAAUUGAAAACACUUCCUUGUGGUCUACAUCAGUGAUUCUCAACCUUUUUUCAGUUUUGU
Molecule: long non-coding RNA, 2152 nt
Organism: Nerophis ophidion (straightnose pipefish)
Lineage: Eukaryota; Metazoa; Chordata; Actinopteri; Syngnathiformes; Syngnathidae
Exons: 5
Source: RefSeq, a predicted model, not a curated record